This is a small nuclear RNA of Papio anubis (olive baboon), 108 nucleotides long. NCBI's taxonomy places the organism in Eukaryota, Metazoa, Chordata, Mammalia, Primates, Cercopithecidae. The record is from Ensembl.
AUGCUUGUUUCAGCAGUACAUAUACUAAAAUUGUAAUGAUACAGAGACAAUUAGCAUGGCCCCUGUGCAAGGAUGACACAAAAAAGAAAAAAGAAAAAAAAAAACACU